ACAUGCAACCAUAUCUACGAGAAAAGUAUUAGAUCUCAUUCACUAUCCUAUAAUUAAGCUUAUAAGGGGUUGAUUAGUAGUUAGGUUAGUAGCAACUAGUCAAUCCUGACUAUUGCAUGUU
This 121-nucleotide ribosomal RNA is filed under the name Diaporthe ampelina. Lineage: Eukaryota; Fungi; Ascomycota; Sordariomycetes; Diaporthales; Diaporthaceae. The record is from RNAcentral.